CGUGCUAGUUGGGAAGGUAGCGGCAUCCUGUAACCAUAAAUCCGCUAUAUUUGGAAUGAAUUCCCGACCGAGGGCGUCUUCUGUGGGGCUUGCCCACAAUAAGAGGUGUUGAACGAAGGGUUCUUGCGCAACAUAAAUCUUACGAACCUCGUCAGGUCCUGGCGGAAGCAGCGAUAAGUAUGUAUUUGUGUGUGCCGCGAGGGUGCCGUUCGGGAGCUGUCUGUUGUGGUAACACUUAUAGAUGCCGCACGGAGUCGGGUGCA
This 263-nucleotide signal recognition particle RNA is filed under the name uncultured Fenollaria sp. RNAcentral describes it as "Bacterial large signal recognition particle RNA". It matches the Rfam family "Bacterial large signal recognition particle RNA". From Rfam's summary of the family: The signal recognition particle (SRP) is a universally conserved ribonucleoprotein involved in the co-translational targeting of proteins to membranes. Lineage: Bacteria; Bacillati; Bacillota; Clostridia; Eubacteriales. The record is from RNAcentral.